This is a long non-coding RNA of Mastomys coucha (southern multimammate mouse), 422 nucleotides long. RefSeq lists it as uncharacterized. The transcript has 3 exons. The record is from RefSeq and is a predicted model, not a curated record. Lineage: Eukaryota; Metazoa; Chordata; Mammalia; Rodentia; Muridae.
GCCGUAAGAAGAGGAUUGUGGGAAAGAAUCUGUCACCUGGAAUUUCCAACACAGUGACAUUCACAGCAUUCGCUGUAUAGCAGGCUGUCUGCUGCCGUGCCUCCCUGUCAUUGUGGACUCGUCCUCUGAAACUGGCCUCAUUGUGCAGCCUGACCUCCUCUACCCACUUAUUUUGUCGGGAUGAAAGCCAUCUUCAACUCAUCUCAUCUUAUUCAUCCCCACCUCCAGAUGACAUCUUUCAUGCAAGAUUGAAGCAUCACUAUGAGGGAAAGAUGUUAGCAUUCUAUAUAAACUCCACCCCAACAGAUACCUGGCAGGAGCCAGGUAUGCUCCUCCCCAUGGUUACUUGGCAACUGCCGGGUAGGCCUAGCUCUAUAAAAGGGGCUGCUUGUCCCCUUCUCUCUCUCUUACUCCUGCUUCUC